This 426-nucleotide ribosomal RNA is filed under the name uncultured bacterium. Its description in RNAcentral is "bacterial SSU rRNA". It matches the Rfam family "Bacterial small subunit ribosomal RNA", at positions 356 to 774 of the family's 1533-position model. The record is from RNAcentral.
AGGGAAUAUUGGACAAUGGGCGAAAGCCUGAUCCAGCCAUGCCGCGUGUGUGAAGAAGGUCUUCGGAUUGUAAAGCACUUUAAGUUGGGAGGAAGGGCUGCAAGUUAAUACCUUGUAGUUUUGACGUUACCAACAGAAUAAGCACCGGCUAACUUCGUGCCAGCAGCCGCGGUAAUACGAAGGGUGCAAGCGUUAAUCGGAAUUACUGGGCGUAAAGCGCGCGUAGGUGGUUUGGUAAGAUGGAUGUGAAAUCCCCGGGCUCAACCUGGGAACUGCAUCCAUAACUGCCUGACUAGAGUACGGUAGAGGGUGGUGGAAUUUCCUGUGUAGCGGUGAAAUGCGUAGAUAUAGGAAGGAACACCAGUGGCGAAGGCGACCACCUGGACUGAUACUGACACUGAGGUGCGGAAGCGUGGGGAGCAAACA